CCUACGGGGGGCAGCAGUGAGGAAUAUUGGUCAAUGGACGAGAGUCUGAACCAGCCAAGUAGCGUGAAGGAUGACUGCCCUAUGGGUUGUAAACUUCUUUUAUAUGGGAAUAAAAUGUUCCACGUGUGGGAUUUUGUAUGUACCAUAUGCAUAAGGAUCGGCUAACUCCGUGCCAGCAGCCGCGGUAAUACGGAGGAUCCGAGCGUUAUCCGGAUUUAUUGGGUUUAAAGGGAGCGUAGGUGGAUUGUUAAGUCAGUUGUGAAAGUUUGCGGCUCAACCGUAAAAUUGCAGUUGAAACUGGCAGUCUUGAGUACAGUAGAGGUGGGCGGAAUUCGUGGUGUAGCGGUGAAAUGCUUAGAUAUCACGAAGAACUCCGAUUGCGAAGGCAGUUCACUGGACUGCAACUGACACUGAGGCUCGAAAGUGUGGGUAUCAAACAGGAUUAGAUACCCGAGUAGUC
This 460-nucleotide ribosomal RNA is filed under the name uncultured bacterium. RNAcentral's name for it is "partial 16S ribosomal RNA". It matches the Rfam family "Bacterial small subunit ribosomal RNA", at positions 338 to 795 of the family's 1533-position model. The record is from RNAcentral.